This 414-nucleotide ribosomal RNA is filed under the name uncultured bacterium. RNAcentral describes it as "bacterial SSU rRNA". It matches the Rfam family "Bacterial small subunit ribosomal RNA", at positions 355 to 774 of the family's 1533-position model. The record is from RNAcentral. RNAcentral also lists the same sequence under 1 other name.
UCGAGAAUCUUCGGCAAUGGGCGCAAGCCUGACCGAGCGACGCCGCGUGGAGGAUGAAGGCCUUCGGGUUGUAAACUCCUGUCGAGGGGGAAAAAGGGCCGCAAGGCCUUGAUUGAUCCCUGGAGGAAGCACGGGCUAAGUUCGUGCCAGCAGCCGCGGUAAGACGAACCGUGCGAACGUUAUUCGGAAUCAUUGGGCUUAAAGCGCGUGUAGGCGGAUUCGUGCGUCUGUCGCUGAAAUCCCCCGGCUCAACCGGGGAACGGGCGCGGAUACGACGAGUCUGGAGGGGCAUAGGGGGACCUGGAACUUCCGGUGGAGCGGUGAAAUGCGUUGAGAUCGGAAGGAACGCCCGUGGCGAAAGCGAGGUCCUGGAUGCCUACUGACGCUGAGACGCGAAAGCCAGGGGAGCGAACG